AAUUUGCUCUGGUGUUGCUUUGCACUGUUUCAAGGAGAGGUAUCAGGUGUUUCUGGAAGCCCUUGGCACUCCUACAUGAGCGAAGCACUACCUCAGUAGUUGGAACCAAACCACUCAAUCUCCUUGCUCCUGCCUACCAGUAAGAGACAUUAUUCUGGAAGAAGUACAUCUGAAGAAUUCAGAUGCUUUUUUGGCUGAGUUUACACUGGAGACUUUCCUGGCUCAUUUCAAGAAUGAGAAAAUGCAAAAGUAUCUGUUGAAACAAGAUCACUAAUGAAGAGAACAACCCCCUCCUUCCUGGGUUACUGGUGUCUCUACCUGGUAUGAUGUUCCUGCAAGCGCUGAGGUGCCUGUUCAAACACUAGUGGCUGGAUUUGUCACACAAGUUGCUGCUCUGCUAGACAUGUUUAUUAAAUCAGAACCAAUGGCCUUGGACUGAUGUGCUUACACAGGCUGAUCUGUGGAC
Long non-coding RNA from Poecile atricapillus (Black-capped chickadee), 466 nucleotides. RefSeq lists it as uncharacterized. The record is from RefSeq and is a predicted model, not a curated record. The transcript has 3 exons. NCBI's taxonomy places the organism in Eukaryota, Metazoa, Chordata, Aves, Passeriformes, Paridae.